Pseudopipra pipra is the source of this 828-nucleotide long non-coding RNA. RefSeq lists it as uncharacterized. Lineage: Eukaryota; Metazoa; Chordata; Aves; Passeriformes; Pipridae. The record is from RefSeq and is a predicted model, not a curated record. The transcript is spliced from 2 exons.
ACAGUUAAUGCCUUACAAAUUCUAAGAUCACCAAAAGACUUUUACAAACUGAAAAGAAGCAGCUGCUCACCCAGCAAAGCCCACUCCUCCCUGAAUACUGCCAAAGGACCUUCAGAUCAGACAACUGGGUGCCACUGUCCAACUAUCCUGGGUGCAGAUGCAUAACUGAAGCUACAAACUGGAUUUCCAGAUAAGGGAAGAGGCUAAGAAGAGGCAAAUCCUGCAAGGUGGGAGAAUCCCUCUUAUCAUGCCAAUGUCCCCCCUUCACAUGACAACUCUGUGCAUCCAGCCUGGGCUACGCAUCUCAAAUGUCAGACCAUGAUGCACCAGGACUGAUGCUGACACAACAGGCAACUGCAACUGUCUUAGGAGAUGUCAGAGACUCAUGACAUGUCCUGUGACACUAUCAGUUGUAAAACUCCCUGGGCUGGGGAGGUACAAGGUGUUCCUUGUGGUGGAAGUGUAUAAUAACUCAUAACAUCUUUGAAUUUGGUGGGCCUCUCCCCUGCCCCCCCAACAGAUCAAGACCAUCACUUCAAUCAGCAGACAUCAAAGCUGCGACUACCAGGUUUCAUCGCUGGAUCCACUGGGACAUGACUAUAUACAUCUUUCCACCCUUAUCCUUUCUUUCCCUUUCUCUCCCUUAUGUGUUUCCUUAAGUGUUAUCUCUAUGGUUUAAUAAUGCUUUACUGCUAUAGAUGGUUAUGCUUUAAUGUUACAAUGUUGCUAUAGAUGUUUUACUUUAUGCUUUAAUAGCACUAUAGCUUUAUUGCUAUAGGUGCUUUAAUAUUGCUAUGCUUUAAUAAAUGCUAUAUUGCUAUGCUUUAA